This 73-nucleotide transfer RNA is filed under the name Urostrophus vautieri. RNAcentral describes it as "tRNA-Asn". Lineage: Eukaryota; Metazoa; Chordata; Lepidosauria; Squamata; Leiosauridae. The record is from RNAcentral.
CUAGAUAGGCAGGACUUGAACCCACGAGACUUUAGUUAACAGCUAAACACCCAAACCAGCGGGCUUCUAUCCG